Molecule: non-coding RNA, 352 nt
Organism: Paramormyrops kingsleyae
Lineage: Eukaryota; Metazoa; Chordata; Actinopteri; Osteoglossiformes; Mormyridae
Source: RefSeq, a predicted model, not a curated record
UAGAAAACGGCGUGUUUUGCGCCCAGUUAUGCGUUUAAACGAGAAGGAUCGAAUUACAUCUUAUCGGAGGGCGUUAACAGGAACGCCCCCCACGGGAACCGCCCCGCAUAAAAAGUGGCACAUGUAGCUCUACAUCUGCUGUGUUCCUUCUCUUCUGCUCUUGGCACCUCAGUUGCUGAAGCUGAACUAGAAACGGAAGAAUGGAAGUCUAGGACAAGAAUGACAACAAUGCAGCCAGAGGUCUUCAACACCUGCAUGUUUUUUAUGCAUUGCUCAUUUCCACAUAUUUUGUGCUAAAAAGGCAAGUGAUGACUUGGAGUAGAACAUUCUUCUAAUUACGUGGAAGAAAAAA